RNAcentral lists this long non-coding RNA (4530 nucleotides) under Solanum tuberosum (potato). The record is from RNAcentral. Lineage: Eukaryota; Viridiplantae; Streptophyta; Magnoliopsida; Solanales; Solanaceae.
UUUACAGUACCCUAAGAACCGUAGCGUAGCAAUGGAGUUCGUCCCUUCGGGGACAUCCGAUAAAAUUGGAACGAUACAGAGAAGAUUAGCAUGGCCCCUGAAUCGAGAAAUGGUCUAAAUUUUUUUGCCGGUCGUCGGCGUUGAGCUCCGGUACAAAAAUCUGCAUUUGUUUUGUCGGUCGCCGCCGGCGAGAGUUCGUAAGUACUCGGAAUUCCUUUCGACUGUUUUAUUUCCUGUCUCCCCUAAUUUAGCUGACGGCGAUAAGCAUAUUAUUGUGCCCUAGUUUUUUUUUUUUGCUUUUAAGAAUCCUGAUAUUACUAUUGCUGUGAAAUUCACUCAUGAUACAUCUGAAACAUUUAUGAGAAUAUAGGCAAAUUAAGCAAAUUUGAAGAUAAACAGAUUUUGAGGAAAUGUUGUAAAGAUCACUAUUUGUUUAGUUUUUGCUGCAUAUCCUGUAUUGCAAAAGUUUAAAGUAUAGGUGGAAACUCAGCAAGUGUGUUACAAUGUCGAUGGUGUUCGAUGAAUAUCUGGUAGCCAUUAUGGUUGAAGAUUUAUUUGUCCCUCUACAGUAUAAGGUUGUUUAUUGUUGAAGAUAGGGGUAAGAUUUGCAUAUACUCGAGGAUCUCCACUUGUGGCAAUACACUAGGUACGUUGUUGUUGAUACUUGUAUUUCAUUGUUUUUAAACUGGACAUGUAGACAACUAAGUAAUAAUGAAUGCUGGAGUGAAAUUUUAUCUAAAUAGGGCGCGUAGGAAACAGGGUUAAAGAAUUGUAAUGAUCAUUAAAGGUGCAAUCUUUAAAGCUUUGAUAAAAUUAUGCACAUUAACUAUGAAAAUGUUAGGGAGAAAAUUGUUCGUUAUUCUUUAUUUCGGCAAAAUAUUUGAUCUAUCAUUCAGGCAAAUUGUUUAGUUGGGGAACAUGUAGAAAUCAUCAGUUUUGUUUGUGCCAAUUCUUCCUUCAUUGCUAAUACACCAGAUAAUGGUGAUACGAAAGGCGUCUACCGGACAUGUUGCAGUGGUUUUCCUACAUAAAUGUAAAAUUCUGUGACACCAAGGGAAAAAAUAGCCUUUUUGGGGUCUUAUAGGUGGUAACUGGAUACGGUGAGAAAUUGUGUUCCUCUUCCUUGGAGGAAUGUUAAGGGAAUUGUGUGAUACUUGUGGUUUUUUGGUGGAUAUGUGGGAUUAUCUAGUAUUUGUGUUGUGCUGGUGGGAGGUAGUAGGUAGUUUGAUGGAAUAGUCGAGGUGUUUGUAAGCUAGCCCGCAAAUCAUUGCCUUAAAAGAAUAGCUAGUCAAAGGUGUAUUACUGCAUAUCAGUAAGCUGUUCUAAAUCAAGCUUGUUGGGAAGUAUCUAUGUUCUAAGCUAAUGUGGAUGAUGUUAAGUAAGCUUUUUUCUCAUCCAGUAACCUUUGUGACAUAAACAAUUUCCCCUCUUUGUUUAACAAUGAAGUAUUUCCUUGCAGCGAGGUCACUGAAGGAGGAGCCUUCCUAUGCAAAGGUGAAAAAAGGGACUUCAAAUGGAGGUCCUAGGGUUGUAAGAAUAAUACAUGCCAUGAACUUAUGAAAUUAAGAUGGAGUUGAAAACUCAUUUUUCUAUUGCUUGUGUUUGGCCUCUAUCCAGUUGGGAGGAAGAUCGGAUUCAUAAGUUCUUAUCCCGGUCUAUAAUUGUCUAACUGGUCGGGAGAGAGAUCAGAUUCGUGAGUUCCUAUCCUGCUAUAUUGUUAGCGUUGUCUAACUUGUCGAGAGGAAGGCCAGUCAUCCUCGGUAUCUUGAUGUAAUGUAUCACCUGUUUUUGUAUAUUAAUCAAGUAUCAUCAGGAUCGAUUUCAAUUGAUAUCAACACUUUGUGAAUUGUGAUGAGCCAAUAUGCUUUAUCUGUACAUUGUGUUUGAACUGCAAGAUUUAAUUAGUUAAAAUUAUUUCCUUCAUGUGUUAUGUUUCUAUGACUCCUGAGUCCUGCUCCACUCUGAGCUGCUGAGGUCGUUUUGCUACGACACAUAUUGAGGUUUUUUUUUUAGUAUUCAGACUUCAGUGGUAUGAUGUCAUUUUACAGAUUGGGUUCGGUGUAGGGCGAGCCACAUGCAAGCUAGAAUCAUGUCCCUUCCACUCUUGAUCGUGGGAGCACGUCACAACAACAACAAAUCUAGUGUGAUCCCACAAGUUGGGUAUGAGGAGGGUGAUUUGUACAUAGACUUAAUGAAGAUUGUGAGCGCACGUUGAAUGAUAUAAUUCUUUUUGUAUAAUUUGGUCAUGCACGAAUGUUCAUCAUUAUACGAUGCAUGUUAUUUCUAAUACGAUAAUCCAAACCGUCAAUGAGAAAUAAUAACAAGAAAACUAAUUUUAGUAUAACUUGUCUUCAAACCAAACAACUUUUUUAUGUGUUUUGUCUAAAGAUUUGUACCUGCUUAGGGAUCCAAUGGAUUUAGGUUGUGUCACGUACCAUUUAUGAAAGGGAAAAACACUUUUAUUAAGACUUCUUUUUUUCCAUUUUAGGACAAAAUCUUAUUCAUCCAAAGUUCCCAAUUACAUCAAAUUUAGAGGUAUUUCGCUUGGUUAAUCAUGAAUCAAAUAUUACGAUGAUAACUCAAUUGUUUAUGUUGAGUCAUUAAAAAGUGUCAAAAUAAUAUAGUACAAAAAAUGAGGGAAAAUUUUGACAUAUUCAGAAGGAGCUUCACUACGUGAAUAAAUACUUAAGGGGCUGAUGUUGAAAUAAAUAUUCUUAAAAUAGGACGAAAUGUUUGAUUUUCGAAACUCAAGGACCCAAAACGACAUUUAUUCAACUUUUAUGUUCUUUUACGUUUCUCCCACAUCGAGCCCAGAGAAAAGCUUACAGCACCCUAAGAACCGUAGUGCAGCAAUGGAGUUUGUCCCUUCGGGGACAUCCGAUAAAAUUGGAACGAUACAGAGAAGAUUAGCAUGGCCCCUGCGCAAGGAUGACACGCACAAAUCGAGAAAUGGUCCAAGUUUUUUUGCCGGCGGUCGGCUCUGAGCUCCGGUAGACAAAUCUGUAUUUGUUUUAUCAAUCGCCGGCGUUGAGGUUCGUAAGUUGCUCGGAAUUUCUUUCAUCUGUUUUAUUUCCUGUUUCCCCUAAUUUAGCUGACGGCGAUAGGCAUAUUAUUGUGCCCUAGUUUUUUUCUUCCUUUUAAGAAUCCUGAUAUUACUGUUGUUGUGAAAUUCACUCAUGUUACAUCUGAAACAUUUAUGACUAUGAACAAUUAAGUACUUUAUUCCACUCUCAUUUGGUUUUUGGUGGAUUAAGUGUGGGAUUGCCCAAUACUUGUGCUGGCAGGAGCUAGCAUACACUAAUAAAAUAGUCGAGCUGCGUGCAAGCUUGCUCAGACUGUCAGACACCAUUGUUAUUGAAUACAGUUGCGUGUUUGCUAUUCAGAAUCGACAAUUGUUUGUAGAUUCGUUCUACUAUCUUUAAGCUACUUACACAUUUUAGCUGCUUUUUGUGCAAUGUUUUUACUCCAUCCUUUUAUACUUUUUAAGUCGAGUAAGCUUGUUCAAAUUGUUGGUGAACUCUUUUAUGAUAUUUCUCUCCUAGUAAUGUGGCAGCGUAUAAAUAAUUAUGCAGUUCGUGGGAUCUAUCUCUGAUUCCCGGAAGAUGGUGGAAGUUGGUUCAACAGAUGGACUGCAAAAUGAGAAGACAAUUGUAGCUAAUGAAGUGUAUGAACUAUAAUAAAAUUGCUCGUCUCUUCGAUGCAGCCUGUUGUCUAAGCCACUAGUUUUGUAUUUCAAAAAUGGGUACCACUGCUACAGCCUACAUGACUAUUGUGUAUCCGAAUAGCAUAAUCAAACAAUCUGUUGUUUAUCAAGUUCUCCCAGAAAGCACUUGUAAUGCAGUAGAAUAUAAGCAUUAUUAUAUUCUUAUGUGUUAUGUUUGGGAUGUUUAAAUUGUGAAUAUCAUAUGGCAUAUGUUAUUUCAGGGUACCUUCGUGAUUUUACUGUGAUUCUCCUAAUUCUUUACCAAGUGAAGUGAAUUGGAGUAGUUACUUCUUUUAUUUCCAUCUCAUGUUUUGCUUAAUACCUAGUUGAAUUGUUUAAUGUGGAACGCGCAUUAUGUUUGCCUUCGUACUUAAUGAUACUGCUGUUUUUCUUGGCAGAUUCACAGUGGAUACCUCUGUAUCUAGAGGUUGUAGGCACCUCUGGAAAUGUGACUACUGAGGAUGUUGCUUUCAUGCUUAAUAUAGACUAGGAUUGAACACAAAUUUGGAUCUGAUAAAGCUUACAUUGGCUGGAGACUUUAUUUACGAUCAUUUUGGGUUGGCUUUCUUGUUAUGUGCCUUUGGCAUGUCACUCUGUGGCGGUAGUGACUCCGCUGUGGGAAAGAACUGCUUCCUUCUUGCUUGAUAGGGGGAGGGGAUGCUUCCGUUCAUCAGUGCAGACUAUAAGUGCUCUCCGAAUCGUGGUGGAUAGUUACUCAUCACACGGCUCAAGUUAGGGGUUGGAUGUAGAAUAAGAAUCUUAUGUUAAUGAAUGUUUUGUGGAAGAUAAGAGUUAUAGCAAGUGAUGUAUGUGUUGAUAAUUUGUAG